Molecule: long non-coding RNA, 1865 nt
Organism: Maylandia zebra (zebra mbuna)
Lineage: Eukaryota; Metazoa; Chordata; Actinopteri; Cichliformes; Cichlidae
Source: RefSeq, a predicted model, not a curated record
CUCGCCUUCCGUUGUUUUUCUUCUCUCAUUCUCUCUCUCUCUCGCUCGCUCUACCACCCUCGCUCUCUUUCCACUGCACUCGCUCCUUGUAUCAGGUGAUCGGGUUAAUUGGGAACCCACCUGCACAUUGAUUGCAGGGUGGCGCUAGCCUGUAUAAAGCUAAGCCGAUGUCUUGUUGGAUUAAUUCCUCCCGAGCUUCUGGUACGAUACAGCAGUAAAUGCUGGCGUACUGCGACGGACUGAUCAGCAAGAGCCGAUUAUAUGACAGCUACAGGUAUGCUCUCGCUUAACCUUGGAUUCCCUCCGAAUACUGGAAUUGGUGUUAAUAUCCUUUUCCGGCCUGUUGUAGCGCAGCAGUCUGUUUAAUUCUGCCAUUGCGGAGAGAGGUGUUCGUGGUAUCUCCACCAAUGAGAGUAUAGUGCCUCCGGUCCUGGGGGUUCACUGCUGUACUCACCUCUCCAUGUGAAGGAGGACGAGCCAGUGGCCCUGGGACCUCAGGUGGUGGGUCGUUUUCACACUUUCUUUUGUACAGCACUGGGUGGUCUGCAGUGAUUCUUGUGGUGUGAUUUUCUUUUGGUUCCACGGCUGCUGGUAAGUCCAAGUUCCACGAUUGUUUAUUUUUACUGUAGGACACUGUCAAUAAUGAUGCUACAUCUUGACUUUUAAUAUUUUAUUUAUAAAAUAUUAUUUAUAAUAUUUUAUUCAUUUCUAUAAAUAAAACUGUUUUAAUAUUGGAAGCCAACCUGCCUCAGUGUGCAUCCUUGAAUCUGUGCGGUCUUCUUUUAUUCCUUUUCUUUAUUUUUCUUAAAUAUAUUUCCUGGGGGUGUAAUUCCCCUAGGUGGCGUUGUCAAGUUUAUUUAUUUUGUUCAUAACCCCGCCGACCACUUGGUCACACAGUGAAAAGGCAGGAGGUUGGUUUUUUUUUUUUUUUUUUUUUUUUUUUUUUUUUUUGUCCCUUACUGCCCACACUACUUGGCUCCCUGCAAUUUUCCCCCAAAUUAAAGUCAAGCUAAACGGUAGCACCUUUAAUACAGUUGAGAGCAAAUAUAUACAGAUGAUCAAAAAAUAUUUCCAAUGAAGAGGAAAAACUGCACAAGGACAUUAUUAUGAACAACAGAGUGGUUAAAUUAAAAUUUACGUACACCUGAAUGCAGUUAAGAAACUAUUUGAUCAUACCAUUCAUCUGUCCAUUACCACUUAUCCACUCCAGGGGCGCAGCGAGAGGGACUAGAGGCUAUUCUUGUCUCUCUGUGUGAGUAGAGACACCAUGAAUGAUGGGAAGUUCCAUGUGUAAGGAACCCAGGGGGUCUCCCACACAAACUUCUGCAUAGCAAGGUAAACACGUGUCUCUUCUCUUUUCCUGCUGGAGAUCAUGUAGGAGCCCCAGCUUGUUUAGGUUAGAAGAAAUGCAUGAACCAUGUGGAAUACUUUGUCUUUGGCCUCCAGUGCCUCAUCUGCAUGAUUUGAGCAAGUGGGAAAAUAAAAACAUGUGUCCCUCAGGUGUUGCCUGUGCUCAGUUGCAGGGUUUCCUCCUUCCUUUUCCUGUAACUACAUGAGGUCGUAAUAUUCACUAAACAAUGCCAGAGGUAUUAAGAGAUCGGUAGAGAAACCUGAAAUACUGAUCUUCAGGGAAGUCAGUGUGAGUCACGGGUGUAACCAAGUCAGUGGUGUUUUGGCCAUGCCUUUCCCCGAGGCUAAAUAGGCAGUAUCAAAAAGCAAGAGGAUAGGUUCUGCUGUCCUGCAAACCUCAUUCAACAAUCUGACAGGGCUCUCUUUGAUCAGGAGGCCUCAUGCAAUUUCUAAACUGGUAAGCUAUCAAUACUAGUGUGCAAACGAUGAUCCUUUGCUCACUGUAAAUGUGCUUU